This 556-nucleotide long non-coding RNA is filed under the name Sinocyclocheilus anshuiensis. RNAcentral describes it as "lncRNA (ENSSANG00000028788.1)". The record is from RNAcentral. Lineage: Eukaryota; Metazoa; Chordata; Actinopteri; Cypriniformes; Cyprinidae.
AGUGAGUCAUCUGUAUUGUCUGAUAUUCUGAUAUUUAUCUACAGUAUCUCCCUCUAUUUCUCUAUCAGAUUUUCAUCUUUCUCAUACUAACUCUUAUUCUACCUGUUUCUAAAUUUCUCAGGCCCAGAUCUUCCAUUCUUGGGCAUAUUGCUGGCACAGACUGUUACAGGGAUCUGGACAAAUACUCAAGGGCACACCAAGUCCCUGGAGUUGACUGUGUUUUCCUGUUGUAAUCCACUUUACUACGCUAAUGCAGACCAGACCUUCACAUCACUCAGACAGUGCAUCAUGCAAUCCUGCACUACCAGGGGCUACAGGUGUGUGUGUGUGUGCUUAAAUGAUGUUAUAUAUAGUCUCCUUGUUAUUUUUGCUCUUUGUGUUUGUAUGCUGUAGUAGUUCACUGUAAUUCAAUAGCGUUUUCUGUUCUAAUUCAAUUACGCAUCUAUUUACAGAACACAGGCACACAUGUUACAGAGCUGUGACCUACCUCACUUCCUGAACGAUGAACUCGACAAAUACAUGAACUUGCAAACCUGAAAAAAAAAACUCACUACCG